CCCAGACUCCUACGGGAGGCAGCAGUGGGGAAUAUUGCACAAUGGGGGGAACCCUGAUGCAGCGACGCCGCGUGGGUGAAGGAGUACUUCGGUACGUAAAGCCCUAUCAGCAGGAAAGAAAAUGACGGUACCUGACUAAGAAGCCCCGGCUAACUACGUGCCAGCAGCCGCGGUAAUACGUAGGGGGCAAGCGUUAUCCGGAUUUACUGGGUGUAAAGGGAGCGUAGACGGCAGUGCAAGUCCGGAGUGAAAGCCCGGGGCUCAACCCUGGGACUGCUCUGGAAACUGCAAAGCUGGAGUGCGGGAGGGGCAGGCGGAAUUCCUGGUGUAGCGGUGAAAUGCGUAGAUAUCAGGAGGAACACCGGCGGCGAAGGCGGCCUGCUGGACCGUAACUGACGUUGAGGCUCGAAAGCGUGGGGAGCAAACAGGAUUAGAUACCCGAGUAUA
RNAcentral lists this ribosomal RNA (447 nucleotides) under uncultured bacterium. Its description in RNAcentral is "partial 16S ribosomal RNA". It matches the Rfam family "Bacterial small subunit ribosomal RNA", at positions 330 to 794 of the family's 1533-position model. The record is from RNAcentral.